GGUGGCAGGUUGUAGCCCUGUUUACGGGGCAUUCGCCCCCCCAACCAG
This 48-nucleotide transfer RNA is filed under the name Cyrtodactylus pulchellus (Malayan forest gecko). RNAcentral's name for it is "partial tRNA-Tyr". Lineage: Eukaryota; Metazoa; Chordata; Lepidosauria; Squamata; Gekkonidae. The record is from RNAcentral.